ACGUGAUCCUUCCAAGAUGGCGGACCUGCUGAUGGCGUCUUUGGAGCUGUCGAAUGUUUGAAACUUUGAAAAGUGUUUUUAAAGUCUUUUUAAAACGUAGAUACGAUUAUGAAAUUAUAUACCUACACAGCUGUGUGGCUUUAAUAAGAAAAUCCCCACGAAACUGCCGUGACAGUUGUUUGAUAUGAGUCAAUAGGCCUAAUAUAAUUUAGGCUUACGUUAUGGCUAUUUUACAUUGAGUUGCUCGCUGUGCUACAACAGGACGUACUUUUGUUACAUUCUUUUAUUAACUUUACAAUAAACGUUACUUUACAUUAAAAGACUGCGGAUUUGGAAACACAUGAGGUUGUUAUUGAGCUCGUGGCAGUACCUGAGGACACUGUGGUUUACAGGACGACGCCUGUGGGCGUCUGAGUGUGCAAACCUCCAGCAAUCUUACGUACAUCUCAAACCAUCUGGACCCCUGCUCACUGCCAAGUUACCGAUGUGCUUUCUGAACAGUUCACAAUUUGCCAGGUAUUACUGCAGGCUAGAGUGAGGAAUCCCCACUUUAACGAACCUCCAUCUUAAGGUAUGUUUGUGGAGCCCAUGGUGGGUCUUCCUCAGCGUAUGGGUCACUGUACUCCACCACAGAAGACUCCUCUUCCUCAUAGUCUUCUGGAAGAGCAGCUGGAUUUUGUGUGUCUUCAAACAUGGGCUCUUCUGAUGGAGGAGGUGGAGGAGGCGCAUCUGUAACUGAGAGAAAGUGGAGAAAUGAGCAGACGACCAGGACUCCUGCAGAAGGGAAGGCCAUGCAAACUCAUGGAUCCAUGCAGAAAGCAAAUGAGAGAUUAUGCAGCGUCAUUAAUGCUAAGGAAUCCAUAACUCUGGACCAGGCCAUAUCCUGAGCUGAUCCUGCGGAGAGCAUGAGGCUGAUUGCAGAAAGACCACAGUGACAGACGAGCCUUCGCAUUGAUCCUGUGGGCCAGCAUGAUCAUCCGCCAUUGUCCUAUUCACACCUGCAGUUCUCCAUGAUGGAUGUCCAGUGUUUUCCAGCCUCCAGCACCUAGAUUGCAGCUCCGCACAGGAAGUUUGGCCAGAGGAAAAUGGUCGUGCUCAACUGAGUCUGGUUUCUCUCUAGGCUUUUUGCCCUCACUUUCGACAAUUGGUGAAGUGUGUUCCUCGAAACUGGCUUGCUUUAUUGGGACGUGUGGCGCUGCACAUGGAUGGAUUUGCUCUUCAGUGUUUGGACUUUCAGCAGUGAAAUUUAAACUACACUGAACUCUGACACUUUCAAUUUACUACAAGUUCUAUUUAAGCUGCUGUGACACAAUCUACAUUGUAAAAGAGCUAUAGAAAUCAGAAUUGUACUUGUUUUUGUGUACAUUUUUACAAAUAUUGUGUGUACAUUUACAUUUUUGUGUACGUUUCAAGUACACACACACGUAUAA
Molecule: long non-coding RNA, 1430 nt
Organism: Danio aesculapii
Lineage: Eukaryota; Metazoa; Chordata; Actinopteri; Cypriniformes; Danionidae
Exons: 6
Source: RefSeq, a predicted model, not a curated record